Molecule: unclassified non-coding RNA, 212 nt
Filed under: uncultured Cantharellales
Lineage: Eukaryota; Fungi; Basidiomycota; Agaricomycetes; Cantharellales
Description: sequence contains ITS1
Source: RNAcentral
ACGAAUCUAAGUCGAUACACUGUGCUGGUGGAAACACAUGUGCACGUGUGUCGCAAACAUCCACACACCUGUGAACCCUAGACUCUGUGGUGAUUGACUGCCCUGACCUUUGGUCUAUGCAAAAGAGGGUCUCUGAGCCCUCCAUCUCCCAGGGUACUUUUUAUCACACUCCAAAUGUAAUGGAAUGUCUCUGUGCAUAAUGCGCAAAUAUA